Molecule: ribosomal RNA, 200 nt
Filed under: Lygodactylus madagascariensis
Lineage: Eukaryota; Metazoa; Chordata; Lepidosauria; Squamata; Gekkonidae
Description: partial large subunit ribosomal RNA
Source: RNAcentral
UAAGCCAUUAUACUACCAAACUACAAAACCCCUUCCACCCCUAGUAUAUACUUUCAGUUGGGGCAACUACGGAGCAAAACAAAAACUCCACGAAUAAACGUCUAACACACGCAGUACCUCAGGCUGCCACGCCACACACCCUAGGCCCAGACCCAGUCUAACUGAACAACGGACCAAGUUACCCUAGGGAUAACAGCGCC